CAAAUUAUAGCUUAAUUAAGUAUUUUAUUUACAUUAAAAAGAUAGUUUUAGAUAACUUAUUUUGA
RNAcentral lists this transfer RNA (65 nucleotides) under Lipromima minuta. RNAcentral describes it as "tRNA-Val". Lineage: Eukaryota; Metazoa; Arthropoda; Insecta; Coleoptera; Chrysomelidae. The record is from RNAcentral.